UACGUAGGGGGCUAGCGUUGUCCGGAAUCAUUGGGCGUAAAGCGCGUGUAGGCGGUCCGGUAAGUCCGCUGUGAAAGUCGAGGGCUCAACCCUCGAAUGCCAGUGGAUACUGUCGGGCUUGAGUACGGGAGAGGCGAGUGGAAUUCCUGGUGUAGCGGUGAAAUGCGCAGAUAUCAGGAGGAACACCGAUUGCGAAGGCAGCUCGCUGGAACGUUACUGACGCUGAGACGCGAAAGCGUGGGGAGCAAACAGG
RNAcentral lists this ribosomal RNA (253 nucleotides) under uncultured bacterium. RNAcentral's name for it is "partial 16S ribosomal RNA". It matches the Rfam family "Bacterial small subunit ribosomal RNA", at positions 524 to 776 of the family's 1533-position model. The record is from RNAcentral.